RNAcentral lists this long non-coding RNA (1281 nucleotides) under Podarcis muralis (Common wall lizard). Its description in RNAcentral is "lncRNA (ENSPMRG00000000209.1)". The record is from RNAcentral. Lineage: Eukaryota; Metazoa; Chordata; Lepidosauria; Squamata; Lacertidae.
CUUAGCCAUUCUGGCCACAUGACCCGGAAGCUGUACGCCGGCUCCCUCGGCCAAUAAAGUGAGAUGAGCGCCGCAACCCCAGAGUCGGUCACGACUGGACCUAAUGGUCAGGGGUCCCUUUACCUUUACCUACACGGGCUGCAGGAAAUGGAGGGGAUGUAAACAGAUUUGUUGGGAUUUGUGCAAAUGUUCAAAACCGCAGAGAUGUUCCCUUCAGUGUCAUCAUUCACUGCAGUAUAUCUGAGGGUUUAAACAAGAUAUUAAGUGUACAAUUUAUUGAGUGCACAUUAUUCUGGGGGGGGGAAUAGCCAGUGUGGGUGCUGCAAUCCAGUUUGGUGGGGAAAAGGGGGGCUUUAGCCCUUUCCAGGUUUGAUCCCCAACUCUUCACGCUUGCAAUUUGCAUUGCGGAGGGCAGUAGCAGCCCAUGUGGUAACUCCCAGUCCAAGUCAACAAUGACCAUUAAUCAAGGUUGAUGGAAGUUGUAGUCUGGCAAGAUCUGGAUGGCAGCACUUUGGCUACCCCUACAUAAGAGUGAUUGAGAGAUCCCACCCCCCUCCAAAAAAUAUUCCAGAUCCAAAACUGUAUCAUGCAGGGAGCACCUCAUUCAAGAGUAAACAACUUGAUUUACAUUGCAUGCUGUUUGGCAUUGAAAAGAAGGUAAACCAAAUGUGUGUCUGUUUUCAGGUAUAUUCACAAGAUUCAUCUGAGGUUGUUGGCAUUCACACCAAACAGAUGUGUGGGUGUGCACACAUGCAUGUGCAUGAUGCCCGAGGUCAUGGUGGCUGGGCAGCAAUGAGGGUGGACUUUAGACCUCUAGAGUCAGCUGACCAUGAGGAUGGAGUUUUCAGAAUGAGAAAAAGGCGAAAGAUUUAUACGAUCUGAGGAGAAGCCAGAGUAUUUUAAGGUAUUUUAUGGUAAGAUAAGGCUAAAUAAAUUAAGGUAAAUUGAACAACAGAAUAUGGUGAAAGAUGGAAAGGAUCUGCUGAGUUAAUAGGUUAGACUGUUAAGAUAAAUUAUAUAAUAAAAAUUGAGAAAGAUGGAAAGAAUUUGCUGAAACAACUAAUUAAGCUAGAAUACAAAAAUGGAGGUGUGAGGAGGUCAAUGAAACAAGCAAAUGAAAGGUAAAGAUAUGUAAUAUGGGAUUUGUAUCUUUUUCUUUUUGUUGUUGUGUCGUAUUGGUUUUUUAUGUAUUUUUCCCCUUCUUUUUAUGUAUUGUAGUGUUGUUUCUUCUUCUUUUUUUCUCCUUUCUUUUUGUAACUUUGAAACUCUUAAUAAUUUUUU